AACUUAUGUGCAAUUCUUGAAUUCCUAUUAAAUAUACAAUUUGCUCAUAUCCUCAUGUGAUGAAAUUAUUUAGUUAUAAUAUUAUUUUAUAUGGACACAAUAUUUCUCUCUCUUUUCUAAAUUCUUGAAAUUUCCUUUUUGGAUUCAAAUUCCACUUUGAGCUUUAAUAUAUUUCUUGUCACAUUUAUUAUUUUAUUUUCUCACAAUGUGCACACAAAAAUAAUCCCAGCAUGAUGCAUAACUUAGUUAAGUGUCUUUUAUUGAUUAUUUAUUGGUGUAAGUGAGGUGCCCACAUGAAAUGAUAAAUAGGGACGACACUCAUAUAUGCAAAGGAAUAUAAUUUCUCCUUUUAUACUCUUAUUACAAAGUGGGUAUUACAAAUCCUACCCCCCUUAAAAAUAAUCUCGUCCUCGAGAUUAGUAAGAAAGGGGAUCCAACAAGUUUGGUUUAUAGUCUAUGCUUUAGUUUCUAGUUGGUUUUAAUACCAAAAGAUUUGUUUUUUUUAAUAUCACAAAUUAUCAUGUGAUUAGGAAAGCAUGGGUAUAUAUAUAGCUACUUUAUUAUGUAGGAUAAAAGAUGUAUCCAAAGCAUGGAUAGGUUUGGGUAGGGUAAGGAAGGACUCCAUCCUAGAUUGUGGAUCUUGACUCAUCUUGGUGAUCCCGCUUGAUCCUUGAAGACUUGAGUUGGUGUUCAUACUUUCUUGAUGAGGUUGAUCAUCUUCGGUCUCCAAUCUUGGUAUCUCCAUCUGAGCUAGGGAGCUGUAGUUAAGAUGGCUAGGGUCUGUGGAUAGGACUUUUUUUAAUAGGUUUACAUAGAUGGAUUAUGUAACUUAUUGGGAGUGUAUGACUGAGUUGAUCUAUGGCACUAACUUAGGCUUAAGUGAAUUAGGAGUAUGGUUUUGUCCUUUGUACCAGCAUUAAGAAUCACCCACAAGGUUAAAUCAUAAUAGAUUAGAUAGGGCCUAAUUUUUGUCGCCAACAUUAUCUAACUUAUUUAAGUAACUCAAAUUUGGAUUAGAUCAUGGUUGUUAUUCUAGAGUGGGAUCAAUAUGAUAAUUAGGGCAAGAUAAAUCCAUAGGGAUAAGGUAGAAUCCUUUGAGGUCAGUUAGAUCUAUUAAGAUGGGAUAAGUAAAGUGGUUAGGAUAAGAUGAAUCCUUCAAGAUAAGAUGAAUCUAUUAAGAUAAGAGAAUAUUUUUAAGAUAAGAUGGAUCUAUGAGUGUAGGAUAGAAUCUUUUAAUAUGAGAUGGAUAUUGUUAGGUUAGAUACUUUAAUGAGGGAUAAUCUAGUUUAUCUAGUUAGUUUUAUAAGCAUUAUAUAUAUGCAGAUGUAAUUGUGGACAUUACUCCACAACCCAUCACACUCAAUCAAAGAUCCAAAUCAGACAAGUAUCAUAAGAACAAACACUCAAGCGUAUAAAUACGUAUAAAAAUAGUUUUGUUUUUGUUCCUAAGAUUUGCUCUCCUAUUCCUAAAGGUCACUUUAACCACAGGAUUUCAAAGUGUGAAAUCCAAGUUUGUCUUUAGAAGUGAAAAGGUAAGAGUAAUCAGAGUAAAGCGGAAAUAGGUGAGAAAAGAUUAAGAGAAGUUUAGAAAGAAUCAGAGUAAGGUAAGCAAAGAAUGGUUGUCCAGUUCUAUCUAGGUUUCGUCCUACAGUCAACAUUGCUCUGAUACCACUUCUGUCACACCCGGAUUUUAGGGAUCCAAAACCCGGGCGCGAACAUAAUCACCAGGUGUGCUGGGACCAAGUCUCACACAUAUGAUGAUUCAUGGCAUAGGAUCGAAUGUCACAUCUUUACUAUAUAACAGGAGUUCUAUACAAAAUAAAUAAGUAAUUACAUUAUAAAGAGACAACGGUCCAGCAACCCAAAGUUGACUGGGAGACGACGGCCUAGAUCUCUCUCACGAACUCAUCGCAGCAUCCUCCAUGCGCCUCAUCCUGUGGUACCUGUUCUUGACCUGUGGGGGGGGUGUGAGACAGCAAGAGUGAGCUCACAUACGUUCAUCGCUCAACAAGUUGUGGGGAAUAAUGUGAAUGAACUCGCCAAAGGUGGGAGUUCAUGUGAAGUGUAAGGCUUACCAAAGAGGAUGGUUAGAGCUGAGCAUUGCUUUUAAAGUUGGUCAAAAUUUUAUUAGCAAUUACUAAGUAUAAGUAAAUACCAGCCCAAUUAAAUAGUAGAACAAAAGUAAUAACCUCACCUGCGAUGCAAUGCAUAUGACAAAUUGAGUUUAAGUUCCAUAAUUUAAUCAUGUGAGGGUCCGAGCUGCUCAUGACCGUGAGCACGGCUAGUAUACCAGUUUUACACUCUGCAGAGGUUGCGCAUCUUUACCCACAAGUCGUGUUACCCAUCUACCAAGGGAUCGCGACUUCCCAUACACCUCUACCGAGGAGGCGAGGCAGGGUAACACUACGAGGCCUUUACAAAGUUCCACUAGCUUCAGAAAACCCGCUACAGUUUAUAGGAAGCUCCAAUGCAAGAAUUCCCUUGCAGGACCGCCAUCGCAGCAAAAUCCUCCCGAGGGUCUCCCUACACUGACCACUCCCCUACUGCCCUUGCCCCUUUCGGGUAAGGUAGUCCUCCACUAGCUUUCCUAAUUAAUCGGCCAAGGGCGUCCCAUUAAACCCUUGUGGUAGCACUGUUUUCCCGGGUGGUCGCUCCAUGUUCCAAUUAACAUAAUGAUCUUAUCAUGAACAGUAAUAAUAAACAAAUAAUAAAAGUGUGAUCAUGAAUAAUGUACCUUCAUACCCAAAACCACAUAAAGCACUAGCAAGUACUACCCAAAAAGUUCAGUGGUAAACAAGGUAUAAAGAUAGACAAACUAGGGUAACCUAUUGGGUCCCAUCAAAAUUAACCUAUGCAGAUCAUUAUGAUUAAUUAGAACAUGAGUGGGUAAAAAGAAGUGAUCAAGGGCACAACUUGCCUGAGACUUGAGAUUCCAGGUACCAGGAUGAUCUUCAGGUGACUCGUGACCUCACGCUAGUCGUAGCAAUACAAACAAACAUUGUAUAGGCAAAAUUAACAUUACACCAAACAUAAGUAAAAAUAUAUAUUAAUAAUCUACAUAUUAAAAUAAGAUCACAGGAACAAGAAUUAUUAAUUUCGGAGUUAUAGAUUUUAAGUUAUGGAUUUCCAAAGAUUCUAUGUGUUUUGUACAAGAUUAAUUAGGAUAUAAAUUUUAAUGUGGCUUUCAUGUCAAAACAGAGAUAAUAUGUGAUAAACAAUAAUUUUGUAGAAUUAUAGAAAUUAGAAUGGACUCAAAAAGGAGUUAAAAUGCAUUUUAUAGGAAUUAUACAAGUUCUUAACAAUUAUUAUCACAUUAAAAACCAUUUUCUAUUUAUUUUUCCUGGGUUUUCUAACCUUCUGGACUGGGCGUAUAAUAUACAGAGAAGAGCAGGGCUACGGUGCAAAACGACCCAAGACUCAGGACACUAUUCCCUGGACGGCGGGUUGAUUCAGAUAUUUCACGGGGUCGUUUACGCAAAAUGCCCAGGUCGAAGGGGUAUGGGCCAAUCGUGGCCGUUCGAUCAGUGGUGGGCGGUAUGGGUUAGAUCCAUAGACGUCAGAACCUGUAAUUCUACGCGAACCCUUGGAUUACCGAUCACGGGCCAGAAUCUGCCCACGACAACCACCAAUCCGACCUGUUCGCCAAAGAUCCAGCGGUGGACAACCCACAUCUAAUCCCCACCGUGUAUAACCCAUCCAACGCGCCAAAGAUCAUCUUCCUCCUAUCGCUCAGGUCUAGGACGACCGCGCGUCACCCAGGCAUCCGUAUGGCCUUCGAUGAACCGCACGGUCGCGCAAGCGAGGACCGCCGGGUAAACACCGAGGGGAAGCCCGGCCACAGUUCCGCCACCACUGGAGUUAGGCGAUGAGCAUGCCCAGGACGCACGACCGAGAUCCACGAAGAGUUCGCGCAGAAAAUUCAUUACUUCUAUGUGCAGGGUGUUCUGACCUUGCGACGAAGCUCGACGAAGAUUCCGUGGGCGCGGUUUGGUGAAGCGAUGCUCCGGCGUGUUCGUCGAGUCGGACGGUACCCAGCCCGCGGCAUGAGGUGGAUCGCGGGCAGGAUUCAAUCGCUCCGAUGAGCAAUCCCCGGACUUCGAGCGCCGAUGCAGGUAGGCGUCUAUGGCGGCGGACAGAGACGCGGGGAGGGAGCAGAGAAGGGGCGCACCGAGCGGAGGCCACUGGGGAGGGAGCAAUGGUGAUGCGAUUUGGGUUAUAUAGCCCACCAUGGACAGGGUCCGAGCGAAAGAAGCGGCGCAGGGUAGAUGGAAAUCCAUCCACGCGAUUUUGUUGCGAUACGCAGUGGAGCGUGCGCGGGAUCCACGGCGGAAGUAUGUGACGGCUUUGGCCCGCGGUUGAAGCUGACGGCGUGGGCCCAUCCUGUCGGUGACAUGCUGAGAGAGGAAGCGCGCCAAGCGACUGACCAGAGGGCCCACAUGUCGGCACUACUGCGAACGCGGGUGUGCAACGGGUUAAUGGGCCGAGCGGGAGAGUUGUUCUUCGGGUGGGCCGGAGUCAAGGUGAGUUCUCUUUUUUUUUUCCUUUUGUUUUUAUUUUUAUUAUUUUUUUCUUUUAUGCUUAAUCCUUUUGGAUCCAAAUUUUAAAUUCAACUUAUGUGCAAUUCUUGAAUUCCUAUUAAAUAUACAAUUUGCUCAUAUCCUCAUGUGAUGAAAUUAUUUAGUUAUAAUAUUAUUUUAUAUGGACACAAUAUUUCUCUCUCUUUUCUAAAUUCUUGAAAUUUCCUUUUUGGAUUCAAAUUCCACUUUGAGCUUUAAUAUAUUUCUUGUCACAUUUAUUAUUUUAUUUUCUCACAAUGUGCACACAAAAAUAAUCCCAGCAUGAUGCAUAACUUAGUUAAGUGUCUUUUAUUGAUUAUUUAUUGGUGUAAGUGAGGUGCCCACAUGAAAUGAUAAAUAGGGACGACACUCAUAUAUGCAAAGGAAUAUAAUUUCUCCUUUUAUACUCUUAUUACAAAGUGGGUAUUACACCGACUUAAGCUGAUUACUCCGUUGGUAGGGUAUAGUGGUCACUCUAAGUCAUGUAAGCGUGAGCAUGUUGCACCGACUUAAGACGUUCCUGACUUAAGUCGAUUGCUCCGUCGGUAGGGUAUAGUGAUCACCCUAAGUCAUGUAAUUUUGAGUCGAAUACAAUCUCAGUCAGUUGUCAGUCAAGAGUUUGAAUGUCUUUGGAAGAUGAAAGCUUUAUUGAUGAUGAAACCUUCUAGUUACAGAGUACAACUUUCCUUCGUGACUUUUGAGGCAUCGCUAAGGGUAGAACUUUCUGAGGUGCUCAAUGUUCCAUGAGUUCCCCACUUCUGUGUCGUCCAUCUGAGUAAGCCGAUAGGAUCCCGGCCGUGUGACCUCCGCUACGAUGAACGGUCCUUCCCAUCGUGGUGACAGCUUGUGUCGUCCCUCCCCCGUUAGUAUUCAGCGGAGGACCAAGUCUCCCACUGCAAAGGAUCGGUGCCGCACAACUUUGUCAUGGUAGCACCUCAAGGUCUGCUGGUACCUGGCCGACUGAAUUACUGUGUUCAAUCGUUCCUCCUCUAGCACAUCAAUGUCUUCUAGCCUGGUUGCUUCUGCCUCAGCU
Molecule: long non-coding RNA, 5589 nt
Filed under: Zea mays
Lineage: Eukaryota; Viridiplantae; Streptophyta; Magnoliopsida; Poales; Poaceae
Description: long non-coding RNA (ZMAY_LNC004497)
Source: RNAcentral